CAGAAUCUCCGUGCACUUGCUUCAUCAUGUCAUUACAAUCCAACUGACUAACGAGGGGAAAGAAGGAGCUGAGGGUCAAGAAGCUCACUUGGACCACUGAGAGAGACACGGAGACCUAAACGAACUGCAAAAAAGAGAUUUCUGAGAGAAGCAAGAUGAGAGGCAGUCAGGAACAUUGGAGGCAAAACAGAGGCUUUAGUAUCAGCGGAGGGAGAGCUUCUUAUUCUUUGGACAUUGUUUUCUGUUAUGUUGGUGUCGUGUGGACUCUGCAGUGGUAUUGGCAAAAC
This is a long non-coding RNA of Sander lucioperca (pikeperch), 287 nucleotides long. RefSeq lists it as uncharacterized. Lineage: Eukaryota; Metazoa; Chordata; Actinopteri; Perciformes; Percidae. The transcript has 3 exons. The record is from RefSeq and is a predicted model, not a curated record.